This 84-nucleotide transfer RNA is filed under the name Deltaproteobacteria bacterium. RNAcentral describes it as "tRNA-Leu". It matches the Rfam family "tRNA". From Rfam's summary of the family: Transfer RNA (tRNA) molecules are approximately 80 nucleotides in length. Lineage: Bacteria; Pseudomonadati; Myxococcota; Myxococcia. The record is from RNAcentral. RNAcentral also lists the same sequence under 1 other name.
GCGAAAGUGGCGGAACUGGUAGACGCGCUAGAUUCAGGUUCUAGUACCUGCAAGGGUGUGGGGGUUCGAGUCCCCCCUUUCGCA